AAAGGAUUACAGUGAAAAAAAAUAAAUAAAUAAAAAGGAUUACAGUGUACUUGUUUUUCCUCAAGAUCUUUCUGGAAAAAUAACAUCUGUUAUAAAGAUGAAAGGCGCAGAACUAAAUUCUUGUAUUCUUUAUUGCAUUUGUGUUAAUAAUGAAAUACUACAGCUUACACCUUAGAAAUAAAGCACUGGAAAGGUUAUUAAUUGAUAAUGAAUAUUGUAGUUAUCUUAAUGCUGUUGGAAGACAAGAUUCUCCAGCUUUGAAGUACUUACUUUCCCAAAUACUGCUAAUUAACUGGCAAUGUGAAAGUGGUCCCACUGAAAUACACCGCUAAUAGUUAACCCCGUUUUCCAAAAAUGUUUUUAGCCACACCUUAGAAGAACCUCAGAGGUUUCAAACCACCCCCUUAAACUCAUUAUCGAAAUCUCUGACUCCUUAUUUGCUGUCGCUAAAAAACUUUGCCUGCCACAAUUUUGGCCCCAUUCUGUAGUAUUUACGAGGUACUCAAGGUCUCUAUACUAACCUAGACCCGUAUCACAUACAUGUCGGCCAAAAUGUCCGCAGAAAUAAGAAAGCUAUCGCCAAGCCAGCCGAGACACCUCAUAAACGGCCUUCACUGUCCUUUGAGCCAAUUAUUUAGGUAACAUACAAAGAGACUGCUGGUUCUAGUUAGAAUCCCACCGUCAGCUUCUCUAAGCGUCAGAAGGGUGUGCAUAAGGGCAGGGGAGAUCUCCAACCCCAUCUCAUUCCUCCACCCUGAGACGUAAGAAACCACCCACGGUACGAAAGCAGGCGGGGGAGGAAUGCUGCAGCCGGCUGCCAGGAAAGCGCUCUGCUAGGAGGCCGUUUCCCUGAGUCACGGAGAGGGCGGGCGGCUGGGCCCACCUGCCCAAGCCAUGUCCUCUUCGUGAGGGGCUCCGCUUAAAUAGGCAGGGCCCACAGGGUAUGGGAAUAGCACCGCUAUGCCCCGACGCGGCCCAACAGCCACAGCCAUUCCCGAGAGACUGCCUCUCCCCCGAACUCGCUCUGUAUUCUGGCAGCAGUCAGCCGACCCUUCCCGACCAGCAUCACGUGCACGCGGAAGUGCGUGGGUGGGACCGAAGCGCCCACGGAAAUGACGUCGCUCACUGCUAGUCGCAUGAUGUGGCAAAAUGCAAAAAAAAAAAAAAAAAAAAAA
RNAcentral lists this long non-coding RNA (1175 nucleotides) under Canis lupus familiaris (dog). RNAcentral describes it as "lncRNA (ENSCAFG00000057758.1)". Lineage: Eukaryota; Metazoa; Chordata; Mammalia; Carnivora; Canidae. The record is from RNAcentral.